This 454-nucleotide ribosomal RNA is filed under the name uncultured bacterium. Its description in RNAcentral is "bacterial SSU rRNA". It matches the Rfam family "Bacterial small subunit ribosomal RNA", at positions 340 to 786 of the family's 1533-position model. The record is from RNAcentral.
UACGGAAGGCAGCAGUGGGGAAUAUUGCACAAUGGGCGCAAGCCUGAUGCAGCCAUGCCGCGUGUAUGAAGAAGGCCUUCGGGUUGUAAAGUACUUUCAGCGGGGAGGAAGGCGAUGCGGUUAAUAACCGCGUCGAUUGACGUUACCCGCAGAAGAAGCACCGGCUAACUCCGUGCCAGCAGCCGCGGUAAUACGGAGGGUGCAAGCGUUAAUCGGAAUUACUGGGCGUAAAGCGCACACAGGCGGUCUGUUAAGUCAGAUGUGAAAUCCCCGGGCUUAACCUGGGAACUGCAUUUUGAAACUGGCAGGCUUGAGUCUUGUAGAGGGGGUAGAAUUCCAGGUGUAGCGGUGAAAUGCGUAGAGAUCUGGAGGAAUACCGGUGGCGAAGGCGGCCCCUGGGACAAAGCUGACGCUCAGGUGCGAAAGCGUGGGGAGCAAACAGGAUUAGGAUACC